This 3797-nucleotide long non-coding RNA is filed under the name Xyrichtys novacula (pearly razorfish). The record is from RNAcentral. Lineage: Eukaryota; Metazoa; Chordata; Actinopteri; Labriformes; Labridae.
GAGUGUUUUCAGCUGCAUAAUGACGACCUGAGUUAACGCCACAAAAAGCUCAUUUCCUCUCGUUCUGCUUUCUUCAGCAUGAGGAGGAUUUCCUGAACUCAAAUAACCUCCAAAGAAACAGACGCAGCAGCUUUAGGACGCGAUGGACCGAGAGAUUCUCGUCUUUACUGUUCAGACGACUAAUCUGCAGCAUCUGAGAGAAGUUAUCAGAGUAAUAAACCCGUAAAUCUGAGAGAUUAGGUCAUUCAGACAAAGACAGGAAAGGUCAAAGCAGGUGAAGACUCACCUGUUCGAUGAGCUCACUGUCCUCUCAUCUCCACACCGACUGUAAUCUGUAAUCUGUAAUAAAUUAAAUUUAGUUUGCUCGCUCUCUUCUAACCGCUCAAUCUGGUGCAUUUGUUGUUUCUUUCUUUUACAGCUCGCAGACAUGGCGCUCACAUGUUCCUCCGCCUGCUGCGUGAUGAUCAUCUGCAGGCUUCAGAAGAGAGAAACGAUGAUCCCGACAGCGGCGAUGACAUGCUGUUUACCUUCAAGACAACAGCUGGAGAUGAAGAUGAAGAUGAAGAUGAAGAAGAAGAGAGAGGAGAAACGUCUGUUCAGACCGGAGCAGGAGAGAGAAGAUCGGAUCAUCUCCUGAAGAACAGAAGUGAAUGAAUGUUCUGAAUCAGCAGUGACUGUCGAAAGCUGAAGAAGCUGAAGAACUGGAUCUUUGAGCGUGCGUCUGUUCUUCUUCUUCUUCUUCUGUGUUUGUACGCUGCUGUCUGUGUUUGCUGCUCCUCAGCACUGUUGCAUGAUGGGAAAUAUAACACUUUCGUACCAGAGACUCAAAAUGAUCGUAUUUUGGGGAAAAUGAUCGUACACCCGUCAUAAUCAAAACAACAAUCUUACUGUUGCGUGAUGGUCACUCCUCCUGACCUCCGCCCUCUCUCUCUCUCUCUGUUUUUUAUUUGUACUCAGCUGUUCCUCCUCCCUCUCUCUCUCUCUCUCUCUCUCUCUCUCUCUCUCUCUCUCUCUCUCUCACCCUCCCUCUUUCUCUCUCUCUCCCUCACUCACUCCAUCUCGCUUUAAGCCGUUCGGCACUUUGUCUCUUCGGCAGCAGGUGAGGCAGAUUAAGCUGAAUUAGUUCCUGGCAGACCUGCAGCACCUCCACCUGAGUCAUCCUCUUUUCCUCUCUCCUCUGUCUUUCUCCUGCGUCACGCUCCUCCUCCUCCUCUUCUUCACCUCCUUCACUCUUUCUUCCUCCUGUAAGCCUGUAAACACGAUCAUAUAAACUGAAACUCCUCGGAGGAUUUCACUCUGAGUACGUUGGCAUCAUUUCUCUGACGGUUUACAGUCAGACCGAUUUAAAGUUUCUGUCUGUGAGGAAACAUCGGUGUUUAAUCCACACUUUGAUCAUCAGUUUAACGGUUAUUGAUCACAUUCAUCACGUCUGCUUCCUCAGACUGAUGGGACUGACAGCUCUCCUCCGUCUGAGUCCGAUCAGAGCUGAUGAUCUGUGUGUCUCUGGGUUUAUACCUGUCUUAUAUUAACUGACCAACAUGUCUGCGGUUUAUAAUGAGUGUAUGAAAUAUUGAUGCCCACUUCCUGAUGAACCUGCAGGAGCUGGAGCUGCUUCAUUAAAAGAGAAACACAAAUGGAAAUUCACUUUCUGGCCUCAGGGAGGAAACUAUCACACAGCAGUUUGUCUUUAUGUUUGGUUGUUCAGUUUUACAGUCAUCUCAUUUUUGUUUUUCACGCUCUCUCCCACCUGUCUUUUCCCUCACUUUUAGAGGUGUCCUUGUAAAACAAAGUCAGAGGAGAAAAACAAAGAAAUACGAUGAUAAACGUCUGUGGAAAAGAAAGAAAAGAGGAAAGUGAGGAAAUGAAAAUAGGAGUAUGAAAGAGAUGACGACAGUUUUUCAUUUUAUUCUGGUAAAUCCUUUCCUGAAGUUUGUAAACCAUGUCAGGCAGCAUGGUGGGUUUUUUCUUGCAUGUAUGAAACAUAAAAUACUUGAAUGUCUGAUUGAUUUUCUGUCAAAUGUUUGGAUUGUUUAUGUUAAAUGAGUUAAAAACAGUGAGUGACUGAAAUGCAAACAGAAAAUGAGACUUUUUAUCGGUGAAUUUGAAAGAUUAAGAGGCUUAACCCCCAAUUUCAUGGCGGAUUAUGGACAGCAGGAAUCGCGAGAACUCACAAGAACCCGUGGAUUCACAUUCCAUUACGUGAUAACGAGAUGUCUGUAUAAAGACAGACACAUAGACAUAUAAUCACAGAGUGUUUUAUUUUGAAAAGAAGCCGGAUGUUUUAUUUUGUGUCUGUGCCCGACUUCCUUUCCAGCACGGGUUAAUCUGUGCUGAAUUUAUCCGCCAUGCUCCGGCGUCCAGAAAAAAUAGAACUCUUGUGAUCAGCUGAUAAAAGAAGUCGGUGUAAAUUGACACGUUAACUUGAAUGGUUACGAUCAGCUACGAUCGGAGGAUACGACCUUUUCUUCAGUCCUCCAUCAUGACCUCCAGCUCCCACGGUUGGAGACUCUAAUCUGACUGUAAGACGAUAAUAGUUUAGAUUUACUGACUUCCCUGAAUGCUUCAGAAAGACAAAUGAACAGGAAACCAGCAUGAAGAGAAACUAUUUACAGAGAAACUGAGACUCUCCUCAGACAAAGACGACUCCUGAGGAUGUAACAGUAAAGAAACGGAGACAGGUAUUUUACAGAGGUAUCUGAAACGGCGGUUUUCACUUCUCCUCUGACUUGAACUCACCAUCGAUUCUCAACACAUGCACAGAUACAAACAGAGCAUGAUCACCAUAAACAGGUCACUCCUGUCCAUUAGCAGCUUUAUUGGAUUCUGCUUCAGUCUGAUUAAACUCAACAUCCUGACACACGUUGACAGACUAAUGAGCCGGCCCUCGUUACAUGUGUGUGUCUGUCCAUGUCUUAUUACAGGCUGAGAAACAAACGUUUGGAUGUCUGAGUCUUAAUAUCAGCCUCUUCUGACCAAUCAGGCGUCCAAAGUCGAGGAGGUUGAUGCUUGUAGCCGAAGCAGCUGGAAAACAUCUGCAGCAGUGAUCCAGAGGAACCUACAGGAUGAUGGAGCUCAAGGACUCUCAGAAAAGAGUGUGUUUUAGUGACUCAGAGAGAGGAUGGAGAAGGAGAUCCAUCAUCAUCCAUCCACACGCCUCUCCCUCUCCUUCUCUAGAAAACAGGUACGGAUGUGGAAAACUCAGUAUAAAUGAUAAAAUCAUGAUUUUACACAUCAUAAAUAAUUAUUAAAAAACUCAAACAUAAUGGAAAGUUAAUUUAGUUUGUCACUUUCCUUCUUCUGUCAUUAAAUGAUGAAUUUAUAAUAAGUAAUCUGACACAUGACGUGUCAGAUGUUUGAAUUUAAAUGAAAUCUUAAUAAAUAAAUGAUAGUAGCUUUCUUAAAUGACCACUUUCCUAAUUGAGUUAGUUGUUCCUGCAGUGAAUGUCAGACCUCUCUAAUAGAUGUGAGGUUUUUAUAAUAAGUAGUGUGUGCACAGGUGACGGCCUGCAGAAAUGAAGCUGUCAGGCUGAACGGUUGGAUUUGGAGGAGGACCUGGUUGGAUGUUUGACACCUGCAGGCACUUUGUUCCACGUCUGAUGUGAGCGACAGCCACCGCCGCCGCCGCCUCCUCCUUCUCAGGGGAUUAGAGGGAUCAGAUGAAACUGAGAGUCUGGACAGGAGAGUUAGGGAGGCUGCUUCCAUGUGUUUCAGUCUCCUAAAAUAAGGAUUAUUGCAGAACAUGAACAUUUUUGGCACAAAUUCUUCCUCUAAUGAAGGCUGCACCAUCUGUGAGGGGG